RNAcentral lists this ribosomal RNA (254 nucleotides) under uncultured bacterium. Its description in RNAcentral is "partial 16S ribosomal RNA". It matches the Rfam family "Bacterial small subunit ribosomal RNA", at positions 524 to 776 of the family's 1533-position model. The record is from RNAcentral.
UACGUAGGGGGGCAAGCGUUGUCCGGAAUCAUUGGGCGUAAAGCGCGUGUAGGCGGCUCGGUAAGUCCGCUCUGAAAGUCCAGGGCUCAACCCUGGGAUGCGGGUGGAUACUGCCGAGCUCGAGUCCGGAAGAGGCGAGUGGAAUUCCUGGUGUAGCGGUGAAAUGCGCAGAUAUCAGGAGGAACAUCAAUGGCGAAGGCAGCUCGCUGGGACGUGACUGACGCUGAGACGCGAAAGCGUGGGGAGCAAACAGG